Molecule: ribosomal RNA, 254 nt
Filed under: uncultured bacterium
Lineage: Bacteria
Description: partial 16S ribosomal RNA
Rfam family: Bacterial small subunit ribosomal RNA
Source: RNAcentral
UACGGGGGGAGCAAGCGUUGUUCGGAUUUACUGGGCGUAAAGGGCGCGUAGGCGGUCAGCACAAGUCAGUUGUGAAAUCUCCGGGCUUAACUCGGAAAGGUCAACUGAUACUGUGCGACUAGAGUGCAGAAGGGGCAACUGGAAUUCUCGGUGUAGCGGUGAAAUGCGUAGAUAUCGAGAGGAACACCUGCGGCGAAGGCGAGUCUCUGGACAUUUCCUGACGCUGAGGCACGAAAGCCAGGGGAGCAAACGGG